Molecule: ribosomal RNA, 331 nt
Filed under: uncultured eukaryote
Lineage: Eukaryota
Description: partial 18S ribosomal RNA
Rfam family: Eukaryotic small subunit ribosomal RNA
Source: RNAcentral
CCCUUGGAUGUUCUGGGCCGCACGCGCGCUACACUGUUCGACGCAGCGAGUCUUAACCUUGACCGAAAGGUUUGGGUAAUCUUCAGCAAAGUCGAACGUGAUGGGGAUCGAUCAUUGCAAUUAUUGAUCGUGAACGAGGAAUUCCUAGUAAGUGCAAGUCAUCAGCUUGCGCUGAUUACGUCCCUGCCCUUUGUACACACCGCCCGUCGCUACUACCGAUUGAAUGGUUUAGUGAGAUCUCUGGAUUGACGCUGGCUAGGGGGCGACCCUUGGCCAGACUGUUGAGAAACUGCUCAAACUUGAUCAUUUAGAGGAAGUAAAAGUCGUAACA